UCCUUAAUGCAGAAUUUUUCUAAAGAACUCUAAUGGCUUGCUUUCCUUCCUUUCUAUUUUUCUUUAGCCUUCUAAAAUCACUUCUAAUCAUUUUGUCCUAAGGAAGACCACCUUGUCUUAGUUUAGGACACACUAGAAGCAAUGUUAGAAAGAAAGAAACUAAUGUAAGAAAGAAGGGAUAUGAGAGAGAGAGAGUUGGAUUGAUUUCCGAUGAUUAGAAAACACCGGGAGCAUUCCUAUUUAUAGAUGGCGUGGGGAUGCAUCACCAAAGGAUGCAUCCCAUCCACACAUCCUUCAGAUGGGGCGUGAUAAGAGGAGAGAAGGC
This 325-nucleotide long non-coding RNA is filed under the name Phoenix dactylifera (date palm). Its description in RNAcentral is "long non-coding RNA (PDAC_LNC010259)". The record is from RNAcentral. Lineage: Eukaryota; Viridiplantae; Streptophyta; Magnoliopsida; Arecales; Arecaceae.